RNAcentral lists this transfer RNA (43 nucleotides) under Liriomyza sativae (vegetable leafminer). Its description in RNAcentral is "partial tRNA-Lys". Lineage: Eukaryota; Metazoa; Arthropoda; Insecta; Diptera; Agromyzidae. The record is from RNAcentral. RNAcentral also lists the same sequence under 1 other name.
UCAUUAGGUGGCUGAAAGCAAGUACUGGUCUCUUAAACCAUAU